UUCAGGUAUGGUGACAUGGUACCAACAACAGUCCCUGGGAAGAUCGUUGGCAGUCUGUGUUCGCUUAGUGGCGUGCUUGUCAUAGCUCUUCCUGUACCUGUCAUAGUGUCCAAU
This is a non-coding RNA of Nematostella vectensis (starlet sea anemone), 114 nucleotides long. NCBI's taxonomy places the organism in Eukaryota, Metazoa, Cnidaria, Anthozoa, Actiniaria, Edwardsiidae. The record is from Rfam.